Molecule: long non-coding RNA, 271 nt
Organism: Phyllostomus discolor (pale spear-nosed bat)
Lineage: Eukaryota; Metazoa; Chordata; Mammalia; Chiroptera; Phyllostomidae
Exons: 3
Source: RefSeq, a predicted model, not a curated record
GUUGAUUUCGCUUCCGGAGUCCGGAAAUAAAGAAACUCAAGCAGCCAUCCUCGCUGGGGAGUUUCUGUCUUGCACCGCCCUCCUAGCGAUUAUUUUCAACACCCGCCCAACUGAGCCUCCUGAACCUGCUGCCAGAGCGAGGGCCCAUCUUCUGCCGCCACUCACGACUUAUUUACACCUCGCAGAGACAGUGCAAAGGAACUGCUGCGGUGUUCCUCCCUCCCCCUUCAGGAGCAUUUCUGGGCUGGGAACAACUCCACGCACGCAGAUG